This 272-nucleotide ribosomal RNA is filed under the name uncultured bacterium. RNAcentral's name for it is "partial small subunit ribosomal RNA". It matches the Rfam family "Bacterial small subunit ribosomal RNA", at positions 26 to 285 of the family's 1533-position model. The record is from RNAcentral.
AGAAUCAACGCUGGCGGCGUGCCUAACACAUGCAAGUCGAACGCGAAAGGGGCGCAAGCCCUGAGUAGAGUGGCAAACGGGUGAGUAACACGUGGGUGACCUGCCUUCGAGUGGGGGAUAACGUUUCGAAAGGAACGCUAAUACCGCAUGACAUCCUGCGUUUGGAAACGCGGACAUCAAAGCUGGGGAUCGCAAGACCUGGCGCUCGGAGAGGGGCCCGCGGCUGAUUAGCUAGUUGGUGGGGUAAUGGCUCACCAAGGCGACGAUCAGUA